Molecule: ribosomal RNA, 544 nt
Filed under: uncultured bacterium
Lineage: Bacteria
Description: bacterial SSU rRNA
Rfam family: Bacterial small subunit ribosomal RNA
Source: RNAcentral
UCGACGAGAAGCUAACUUCUGAUUCCUUCGGGAUGAUGAGGUCAGCAGAAAGUGGCGAACGGGUGAGUAACGCGUGGGUAAUCUACCCUGUUUAGUGGGGGAUAACCCUCCGAAAGGAGGGCUAAUACCGCAUAAUAUCUUUAUCCCAAAAGAGGUAAAGAUUAAAGAUGGCCUCUAUACUAUGCUAUCGCUUCAGGAUGAGCCCGCGUCCUAUUAGUUAGUUGGUGGGGUAAUGGCCUACCAAGACCACAAUGGGUAGCCGGUCUGAGAGGAUGUACGGCCACACUGGGACUGAGAUACGGCCCAGACUCCUACGGGAGGCAGCAGUGGGGAAUAUUGCGCAAUGGGGGAAACCCUGACGCAGCGACGCCGCGUGGAUGAUGAAGGCCUUUGGGUUGUAAAAUCCUGUUCUGGGGGAAGAAAGCUUAUGGGUCCAAUAAACCUUUACGUUUGACGGUACCCCAAGAGAAAGCUCCGGCUAAUUAUGUGCCAGCAGCCGCGGUAAUACAUAACGAGCUGACCUCAUCCGGACUUAUUGGGCGUU